This 1542-nucleotide ribosomal RNA is filed under the name Salmonella enterica. Its description in RNAcentral is "bacterial SSU rRNA". It matches the Rfam family "Bacterial small subunit ribosomal RNA". The record is from RNAcentral. Lineage: Bacteria; Pseudomonadati; Pseudomonadota; Gammaproteobacteria; Enterobacterales; Enterobacteriaceae. RNAcentral also lists the same sequence under 11 other names.
AAAUUGAAGAGUUUGAUCAUGGCUCAGAUUGAACGCUGGCGGCAGGCCUAACACAUGCAAGUCGAACGGUAACAGGAAGCAGCUUGCUGCUUUGCUGACGAGUGGCGGACGGGUGAGUAAUGUCUGGGAAACUGCCUGAUGGAGGGGGAUAACUACUGGAAACGGUGGCUAAUACCGCAUAACGUCGCAAGACCAAAGAGGGGGACCUUCGGGCCUCUUGCCAUCAGAUGUGCCCAGAUGGGAUUAGCUAGUUGGUGAGGUAACGGCUCACCAAGGCGACGAUCCCUAGCUGGUCUGAGAGGAUGACCAGCCACACUGGAACUGAGACACGGUCCAGACUCCUACGGGAGGCAGCAGUGGGGAAUAUUGCACAAUGGGCGCAAGCCUGAUGCAGCCAUGCCGCGUGUAUGAAGAAGGCCUUCGGGUUGUAAAGUACUUUCAGCGGGGAGGAAGGUGUUGUGGUUAAUAACCGCAGCAAUUGACGUUACCCGCAGAAGAAGCACCGGCUAACUCCGUGCCAGCAGCCGCGGUAAUACGGAGGGUGCAAGCGUUAAUCGGAAUUACUGGGCGUAAAGCGCACGCAGGCGGUCUGUCAAGUCGGAUGUGAAAUCCCCGGGCUCAACCUGGGAACUGCAUUCGAAACUGGCAGGCUUGAGUCUUGUAGAGGGGGGUAGAAUUCCAGGUGUAGCGGUGAAAUGCGUAGAGAUCUGGAGGAAUACCGGUGGCGAAGGCGGCCCCCUGGACAAAGACUGACGCUCAGGUGCGAAAGCGUGGGGAGCAAACAGGAUUAGAUACCCUGGUAGUCCACGCCGUAAACGAUGUCUACUUGGAGGUUGUGCCCUUGAGGCGUGGCUUCCGGAGCUAACGCGUUAAGUAGACCGCCUGGGGAGUACGGCCGCAAGGUUAAAACUCAAAUGAAUUGACGGGGGCCCGCACAAGCGGUGGAGCAUGUGGUUUAAUUCGAUGCAACGCGAAGAACCUUACCUGGUCUUGACAUCCACGGAAGUUUUCAGAGAUGAGAAUGUGCCUUCGGGAACCGUGAGACAGGUGCUGCAUGGCUGUCGUCAGCUCGUGUUGUGAAAUGUUGGGUUAAGUCCCGCAACGAGCGCAACCCUUAUCCUUUGUUGCCAGCGGUCCGGCCGGGAACUCAAAGGAGACUGCCAGUGAUAAACUGGAGGAAGGUGGGGAUGACGUCAAGUCAUCAUGGCCCUUACGACCAGGGCUACACACGUGCUACAAUGGCGCAUACAAAGAGAAGCGACCUCGCGAGAGCAAGCGGACCUCAUAAAGUGCGUCGUAGUCCGGAUUGGAGUCUGCAACUCGACUCCAUGAAGUCGGAAUCGCUAGUAAUCGUGGAUCAGAAUGCCACGGUGAAUACGUUCCCGGGCCUUGUACACACCGCCCGUCACACCAUGGGAGUGGGUUGCAAAAGAAGUAGGUAGCUUAACCUUCGGGAGGGCGCUUACCACUUUGUGAUUCAUGACUGGGGUGAAGUCGUAACAAGGUAACCGUAGGGGAACCUGCGGUUGGAUCACCUCCUUA